UUGCGCCCUUUGGCUAUUCCGAAGGGCAUGCCUGUUUGAGUAUCAUGAACACCUCAACUCUCAUGGUCUUCCAUGACGAGCUUGGACUUUGGGGGUCUUGCCGGCCUAGUGUUGGCUCCUCUCAAAUGGAUCAGCUUGCCAGUGUUUGGUGGGGUCACAGGUGUGAUAACUAUCUACGCGUGUGUUCCCUGCCAUGUAACCUUCAGUGAUGGAGGUUCGCUGGAGCUCAUAGAUGUCUCUCCUCAGUGAGGACAGCUUUUUGAACGUUUGAUCUCAAAUCAGGUAGGACUACCCGCUGAACUUAAGCAUAUCAAUAAGCGGAGG
RNAcentral lists this ribosomal RNA (324 nucleotides) under uncultured Tomentella. RNAcentral's name for it is "eukaryotic LSU rRNA". The stretch from base 269 to 324 matches the Rfam family "Eukaryotic large subunit ribosomal RNA", at positions 1 to 56 of the family's 3401-position model. Lineage: Eukaryota; Fungi; Basidiomycota; Agaricomycetes; Thelephorales; Thelephoraceae. The record is from RNAcentral.